CAGUAGCCGCGGUAAUACGUAGGUGGCAAGCGUUGUCCGGAAUUAUUGGACGUAAAGGGCUCGCAGGCGGUUUCUUAAGUCUGAUGUGAAAGCCCCCGGCUCAACCGGGGAGGGUCAUUGGAAACUGGGAAACUUGAGUGCAGAAGAGGAGAGUGGAAUUCCACGUGUAGCGGUGAAAUGCGUAGAGAUGUGGAGGAACACCAGUGGCGAAGGCGACUCUCUGGUCUGUAACUGACGCUGAGGAGCGAAAGCGUGGGGAGCGAACAGGAUUAGAUACCCCUGUAGUCCCUGUCUCUUAUAC
RNAcentral lists this ribosomal RNA (301 nucleotides) under uncultured bacterium. RNAcentral's name for it is "partial 16S ribosomal RNA". It matches the Rfam family "Bacterial small subunit ribosomal RNA", at positions 509 to 807 of the family's 1533-position model. The record is from RNAcentral.